GCCCGGAUAGCUCAGUCGGUAGAGUCAGAGCAUCAGACUUUUAAUCUGAGGGUCCAGGGUUCAAGUCCCUGUUCGGGCG
This 79-nucleotide transfer RNA is filed under the name Albula goreensis. It matches the Rfam family "tRNA". From Rfam's summary of the family: Transfer RNA (tRNA) molecules are approximately 80 nucleotides in length. Their secondary structure includes four short double-helical elements and three loops (D, anti-codon, and T loops). The record is from Rfam by way of RNAcentral. Lineage: Eukaryota; Metazoa; Chordata; Actinopteri; Albuliformes; Albulidae.